CCCCUAGAUGUCCUGGGCCGCGCGCGCAAUACAAUGUAAAGUUCAGAAAGCAUAUCCUGUUCCGGAAGGCAAUGGGUAAUCUUUUCAAUAUUUUACGUGUUAGGGAUCGAUCUUUGCAAUUAUAGAUCUUGAACGAGGAAUACCUAGUAAGUGCAGCUCAUCAGGCUGUACUGAUUACGUCCCUGCCCUUUGUACACACCGCCCGUCGCUCCUACCGAUUUCGAGUGGUCCGGUGAAUCUUUUGGAAUUAGAGUGCAAACUCAAACUAAGAUCGAUAAACCUUAUCACUUAGAGGAAGGAGAAGUCGUAACA
RNAcentral lists this ribosomal RNA (312 nucleotides) under uncultured eukaryote. Its description in RNAcentral is "partial 18S ribosomal RNA". It matches the Rfam family "Eukaryotic small subunit ribosomal RNA", at positions 1470 to 1796 of the family's 1831-position model. The record is from RNAcentral.